Molecule: ribosomal RNA, 398 nt
Filed under: Flavobacterium sp.
Lineage: Bacteria; Pseudomonadati; Bacteroidota; Flavobacteriia; Flavobacteriales; Flavobacteriaceae
Description: bacterial SSU rRNA
Rfam family: Bacterial small subunit ribosomal RNA
Source: RNAcentral
GCAAUCUACCUUUUACAGAGGGAUAGCCCAGAGAAAUUUGGAUUAAUACCUCAUAGUAUAUCACAAUCGCAUGAUUGAGUUAUUAAAGUCACAACGGUAAAAGAUGAGCAUGCGUCCCAUUAGCUAGUUGGUAAGGUAACGGCUUACCAAGGCUACGAUGGGUAGGGGUCCUGAGAGGGAGAUCCCCCACACUGGUACUGAGACAGGGACCAAAUUUAUACGGGAGGCAGCAGUGAGGAAUAUUGGACAAUGGGCGCAAGCCUGAUCCAGCCAUGCCGCGUGCAGGAUGACGGUCCUAUGGAUUGUAAACUGCUUUUAUACGAGAAGAAACACUGCUUCGUGAAGCAGCUUGACGUUAUCGUAAGAAUAAGGAUCGGCUAACUCCGCGCCAGCAGCCG